RNAcentral lists this ribosomal RNA (488 nucleotides) under uncultured bacterium. Its description in RNAcentral is "partial 16S ribosomal RNA". It matches the Rfam family "Bacterial small subunit ribosomal RNA", at positions 30 to 505 of the family's 1533-position model. The record is from RNAcentral.
AUUGAACGCUGGCGGCAGGCCUAACACAUGCAAGUCGAACGGUAACAGAAAGCAGCUUGCUGCUUUGCUGACGAGUGGCGGACGGGUGAGUAAUGUCUGGGAAACUGCCUGAUGGAGGGGGAUAACUACUGGAAACGGUAGCUAAUACCGCAUAACGUCGCAAGACCAAAGAGGGGGACCUUCGGGCCUCUUGCCAUCGGAUGUGCCCAGAUGGGAUUAGCUAGUAGGUGGGGUAAAGGCUCACCUAGGCGACGAUCCCUAGCUGGUCUGAGAGGAUGACCAGCCACACUGGAACUGAGACACGGUCCAGACUCCUACGGGAGGCAGCAGUGGGGAAUAUUGCACAAUGGGCGCAAGCCGGAUGCAGCCAUGCCGCGUGUAUGAAGAAGGCCUUCGGGUUGUAAAGUACUUUCAGCGGGGAGGAAGGGAGUAAAGUUAAUACCUUUGCUCAUUGACGUUACCCGCAGAAGAAGCACCGGCUAACUCCG